UGGCGGGUGGGGGCGCUGGUGUGCCCGGCGGUUUCAUAAGCCGCUUCAGGUGGGUUCGAUUCCCGCAUCCGCCACCC
Molecule: transfer RNA, 77 nt
Filed under: Acrocarpospora corrugata
Lineage: Bacteria; Bacillati; Actinomycetota; Actinomycetes; Streptosporangiales; Streptosporangiaceae
Description: tRNA-Met
Rfam family: tRNA
About the family: Transfer RNA (tRNA) molecules are approximately 80 nucleotides in length. Their secondary structure includes four short double-helical elements and three loops (D, anti-codon, and T loops).
Source: RNAcentral